Gasterosteus aculeatus aculeatus (three-spined stickleback) is the source of this 507-nucleotide long non-coding RNA. RefSeq lists it as uncharacterized. NCBI's taxonomy places the organism in Eukaryota, Metazoa, Chordata, Actinopteri, Perciformes, Gasterosteidae. The record is from RefSeq and is a predicted model, not a curated record.
AAGUAGUUCCGGGGCGACAUUUUCUGCAGAAGCGCCGUUCCUUGAGAGCACGCGGGCCUGGAAGGACCAGUUGGGCUGCAACGACGCGGUUCAUUAUGGAUAAGAAAGGCUUAUUAAUGUUUAUGUUGUUGAGUGAUUAUAAUGAUACUUGACGUAAGCCUGCUGGAAGAAUUCCUCCCAUUUUGACCUCAUUACGGUCCCUCGUGGAGCGAUGACUAGGCCGCCUCGGCACGAAAAUAUGGUCCGGUAGUGAUCGUGGAUCCACGCCGUGUUUCUGAGGGGAUUGCACACCCACACGUGGGCGCAGAGAGAUGGCGUCCUCUCACGUGGCCUCAUGGAGGAAAAUGAUGCUCGUUGUGGCUGAUUUCCUGCACGUGGCAAGACGAUAUGAGGACUGGACAAGCCGGCGUAUAAUACAUGAGGACACCUAGAAGCAGUUUCCUGUAUCAACUUCAUACAUGUUAACUUGUUGGAACUUUUUGAAUUAAACAAAAUUGUCAACCAGCA